Molecule: ribosomal RNA, 497 nt
Filed under: uncultured bacterium
Lineage: Bacteria
Description: partial 16S ribosomal RNA
Rfam family: Bacterial small subunit ribosomal RNA
Source: RNAcentral
GAUGAACGCUGGCGGCGUGCCUAAUACAUGCAAGUCGAGCGAACGGACGAGAAGCUUUCUUCUCUGAUGUUAGCGGCGGACGGGUGAGUAACACGUGGAUAACCUACCUAUAAUACUGGGAUAACUUCGGGAAACCGGAGCUAAUACCGGAUAAUAUUUUGAACCGCAUGGUUCAAAAGUUAUAGACGGUCUUGCUGUUACUUAUAGAUGGAUCCGCGCUGCAUUAGCUAGUUGGUAAGGUAACGGCUUACCAAGGCAACGAUGCAUAGCCGACCUGAGAGGGUGAUCGGCCACACUGGAACUGAGACACGGUCCAGACUCCUACGGGAGGCAGCAGUAGGGAAUCUUCCGCAAUGGGCGCAAGCCUGACGGAGCAACGCCGCGUGAGUGAUGAAGGUCUUCGGAUCGUAAAACUCUGUUAUUAGGGAAGAACAUAUGUGUAAGUAACUGUGCACAUCUUGACGGUACCUAAUCAGAAAGCCACGGCUAACUACGUG